AUGGACGUAAGACCUUUGUCCCGUCGGCUGGAGUCACCCCUGUCUCCUGCCCGUCACUCUGCUCAGGCUCGGGGGGCUGUGCAGCCUGCUCGGGGGGGCCAAAGCGGCGCUGGAGGGGCCAGCCUGGAAGAGGAGAUCCCCGAUGCGCUGGGGCGGGCAGCCAGUGCUGAGGGCAGCACAAGGUCCCAGGCCCAAGCUGCUGCGCGUGGGCUGGUCCCUGCUCCCCAGGUGGGGGCUGCCCUGCAGCAGACCCUCCAGCAUGUGCUGCGAUGGGGCGACCAGCUCAGUCGGGCUUUCCUGGGAGCUGAUGGCUCCCCGGAGACCCCCAGGUCUGAGGCAGGCCCUCAGGAUGCCGGGGCUGGCCUCAGUGGUUGGUGGGGCCAGCUGAGCCAGGCCUCCAGGAUUUAUGCUGCUCCUAGCAAGGAAAAGGUCCCCUUCAUCUGGUGGACAAAGCUGCGGACGGCUGCGGGGGAGUCCAGCCCUGGGCAGGCUGCUCGAUCUCAAACAUCCAUGAAUGAGCCUAGAGGCACGGAGCUGCAGCUUCUUCAGACCAAAGCUGUCCCUGAACUCCCCAGUCCAAAGGCCACUAGCAGUGCUGACACCUCUGGAACCUCUUCCCCUGAAGACCUCGUCCUGCUGCUGGAGCUGGAGCACCCACCAAGCCAGAUGAUCCCAUUGCUGGAGAAAAACUCCUGCCUGUUUCCCCAGAGCCUCGUCCGAAUGGGGAUCGGGCAGCACCUUCUGACCCAGAGGCGGGUGGUCCUCCUGGUCCUGACAAGGGCAGCUGGCUGGGCCGGCUCUUUGGAGCCACCAGCCCCUCUGCCAGGAGCUUCCCUCCCAAUCCUGACACCACCUCAGCCAAGUCCAGGUAAGGCCCAGCGGGGCAGGAAGGGUUUUUUCCCCCAGGCACACCCUGGGGCUCACGGGGUGUCCUGUACAGCCUGUUAUCCAGGUUCUGUGCUCCCAGGACUAGCAGUGCUGCUGCCAUUGCACCGCAUCUGUCCUUUAGAACGUGGAGGUGGAGGCUCGGUGGGGCUUGAUAGGGCCCUCGCCAGCUCCUGCAUCACCAGAAUAGUCUGA
This 1080-nucleotide long non-coding RNA is filed under the name Athene cunicularia (burrowing owl). RNAcentral's name for it is "lncRNA (ENSACUG00000004879.1)". Lineage: Eukaryota; Metazoa; Chordata; Aves; Strigiformes; Strigidae. The record is from RNAcentral.